Long non-coding RNA from Acipenser ruthenus (sterlet), 587 nucleotides. RefSeq lists it as uncharacterized. The record is from RefSeq and is a predicted model, not a curated record. Lineage: Eukaryota; Metazoa; Chordata; Actinopteri; Acipenseriformes; Acipenseridae. The transcript is spliced from 3 exons.
CAGGGCCACUGAGAGCCUGGGGAAGGAUUGGUAUGUCCCGCUGCUGCCCCACAAUUUACAGUAUUCAAACUUUAUUUUUUAGAAUACAGUUGUAUGAAGACAUGACUGAGAAGAGGAUGCUGUCUAAGCUGUACUGUAAAGGAAUUACAUUGAGCUUGAUCAUUUGGAGUUGUUUAUUUGUGGCAGAUUCAGACGUUCUAAAACAGGAACCUAUCUCUGUUAUUGCUGAUGUGGGAACCAUAGUAACUCUUCGGUGUAAAAAUGAAUCACUGAGAGAAACAACUCAAGCAACCUGGAUAAAAGAGACUCAGAGUAAACCUGAGAUUAUCCUGAGUUAUAAAAAAACAGGGAACGAAACGUAUCGACCUAAUCACACACAGCAAAGAAUAUCACUUCUCCACAUUCCAGAGAACCUCUUCAGUUUAAGGAUUUCUCAAUUGCAACACUCUGAUGCUGGGAACUAUACCUGCUUAACAACAACAAGUAACAGAGUUUGGAAAAGGCAUUGGGAGCUCGUUACAAAAGGUACAGUGAUUUCUACAAAUGCCGUUUCGUUGAUUCCAUAUUUACAAGUUGUUUAAAACAGG